UGGUGGAGUGAUUUGUCUGCUUAAUUGCGUUAACGAACGAGACCUCGACCUACUAAAUAGUUGACCUUAUUUCUUUGGAGAUAAGAGUCUAACUUCUUAGAGGGACUAUCGGUUCUUAGCCGAUGGAAGUUCGAGGCAAUAACA
This 144-nucleotide ribosomal RNA is filed under the name uncultured eukaryote. RNAcentral's name for it is "partial 18S ribosomal RNA". It matches the Rfam family "Eukaryotic small subunit ribosomal RNA", at positions 1299 to 1458 of the family's 1831-position model. The record is from RNAcentral.